RNAcentral lists this small RNA (554 nucleotides) under Pongo abelii (Sumatran orangutan). RNAcentral's name for it is "retained intron". Lineage: Eukaryota; Metazoa; Chordata; Mammalia; Primates; Hominidae. The record is from RNAcentral.
CCUUCCCCCGGCUCCAGCCGGCGCAGGCAGCGGCAGCGGCAGCAGGCGAGCCGCGGCCCCGCAAGGCCAUGAAGGUGAAGAAGGGCGGCGGUGGGGCCGGGACGGGGGCGGAGCCCGCUCCGGGGCCCUCGGGCCCGAGCGUGGCCCCCAUACCACAGCCGCCGGAGGAAUCCGAAUCUGGGUCCGAGUCGGAGCCGGACGCAGGCCCAGGGCCCAGGCCGGGGCCGCUGCAGAGGAAGCAGCCGAUCGGGCCGGAGGACGUGCUGGGGCUGCAGCGGAUCACCGGUGGGGCCCGUCCCCUUUUCCCAGCGUGGAGGUAGUGCGGCAGCAGCUGCAACCGUAGCCCUGUAGCUGUGGAGUCUCCAGAGCGCUUUGAGGCCCGCCCCUGCACUAAUGAGGAGAGGGGCUGAGUGCAGCCUGUCCUCAGCCCCCACGCUGGAGGCUAGGUGGAGGCUGAGUUACUUGGAGGCAUUCAGACUCUUCAUGUCUCCCCAACCAUUAAUACCCUCACCCUGAUCCUCCAGGAAGACUUGGGCCGUUUUCUUCCCCGGGAA